AGAGUUUGAUCAUGGCUCAGGAUGAACGCUAGCGGCGGGCCUAAUACAUGCAAGUCGAGGGAAAAGUAAUGUAGCAAUACAUUACGAAGACCGGCAAACGGGUGCGUAACACGUAUGUAACCUACCUCAUACCGGAGGAUAGCCCGGAGAAAUCCGGAUUAAUACUCCAUGACAUGACGUCAGGGCAUCCUGAUGUCAUUAAAGCUCCGGCGGUAUGAGAUGGGCAUGCGGCCCAUUAGGUAGUUGGUAGGGUAAAGGCCUACCAAGCCAACGAUGGGUAGGGGACCUGAGAGGGUGAUCCCCCACACUGGUACUGAGACACGGACCAGACUCCUACGGGAGGCAGCAGUAAGGAAUAUUGGGCAAUGGCCUAACGGCUGACCCAGCCACGCCGCGUGAAGGAAGAAGGCCCUAUGGGUUGUAAACUUCUUUUGUUUGGGAAGAAACCCCCCGACGCGUCGGGGGCUGACGGUACCAGACGAAUAAGCAUCGGCUAACUCCGUGCCAGCAGCCGCGGUAAUACGGAGGAUGCAAGCGUUAUCCGGAUUCACUGGGUUUAAAGGGUGCGUAGGCGGACUAUUAAGUCAGAGGUGAAAGCCGACGGCUCAACCGUCGAAUUGCCUUUGAUACUGGUAGUCUAGAGUGCAGUUGAGGUGGGCGGAAUGUGGCAUGUAGCGGUGAAAUGCUUAGAUAUGCCACAGAACACCGAUUGCGAAGGCAGCUCGCUAAGCUGUAACUGACGCUGAGGCACGAAAGCGUGGGGAGCAAACAGGAUUAGAUACCCUGGUAGUCCACGCCCUAAACGAUGAUCACUCGCUGUUGGCGAUACACUGUCAGCGGCUAAGCGAAAGCGUUAAGUGAUCCACCUGGGGAGUACGAUCGCAAGGUUGAAACUCAAAGGAAUUGACGGGGGCCCGCACAAGCGGCGGAGCGUGUGGUUUAAUUCGAUGCAACGCGAAGAACCUUACCAGGGCUUGACAUGCUGGUGGUACCGAACCGAAAGGGGAGGGACCCUUCGGGGAGCCAGCACAGGUGCUGCAUGGCUGUCGUCAGCUCGUGCCGUGAGGUGUUGGGUUAAGUCCCGCAACGAGCGCAACCCUUGUUGCUAGUUGCCAUCAGUUCGGCUGGGCACUCUAGCGAGACUGCCUACGAAAGUAGGAGGAAGGCGGGGAUGACGUCUGAUCCGCAUGGCCCUUACGACCUGGGCGACACACGUGCUACAAUGCCUGCCACAAAGCGCUGCGACCCGGCAACGGGAAGCCAAUCGCACAAAAGCAGGCUCAGUUCGGAUUGGGGUCUGCAACUCGACCCCAUGAAGCUGGAAUCGCUAGUAAUCGCGCAUCAGCCAUGGCGCGGUGAAUACGUUCCCGGACCUUGUACACACCGCCCGUCAAGCCAUGGGAGCCUGGGGCGCCUGAAGCUGGUGACCUUACGAGGAGCUAACUAAGGCGAAACAGGUGACUGGGGCUAAGUCGUAACAAGGUAACGUA
RNAcentral lists this ribosomal RNA (1490 nucleotides) under uncultured bacterium. RNAcentral's name for it is "partial 16S ribosomal RNA". It matches the Rfam family "Bacterial small subunit ribosomal RNA". The record is from RNAcentral.